Molecule: long non-coding RNA, 1772 nt
Organism: Bombus huntii
Lineage: Eukaryota; Metazoa; Arthropoda; Insecta; Hymenoptera; Apidae
Exons: 2
Source: RefSeq, a predicted model, not a curated record
GGAAAAUAUUUCGUGGAAAAUAAUCGAAAGAAGAUAUCGAAAGGUGAAACAGUAUCGUAACCGAUUCCCCACGCGUUCGAUCUAUAGGUACACACCGUAUCGACAACAACCGAUCAACAGAGAACUUUUAAAGCGAUUUAUAAAUUGGUGGAUACACAAGAACCAACAACCAACCACGAAACUGAAACGGAUUAACCACUAUUUACGAGUGGUAUCUUCCACACUGUUCAUUGACAUGCUUUCUGUAAACAUCGAGUAGCAUUUUUAACAUUAUUCUUUUUAAUCCUACAAUUUUUUCCGAGAUUCCUGGAACAUUAUGUGCAGGAAAGAAGUAAUAUACAGAUAAAAUAAGAAUAAAUGAUGAAAUGAAAAUAUAGAUAGAAAAACAAUUGAAUCAGUUUGUUGGAUACCUUAUAUUAUAUGAGUUCUAAAUAAUAACGAACUGGCUAACGAAGCAAACAGACACUGGCACUCAAUACAAAGAAAAAUUAUUUAAAGCAAAUAUAAUUAUUUUGUAUCUGCAUACAUAAAUUAAAAAUUUUAGUAUGGUUACGUAUAAUUACGUUACGCUUCUACGUCUCCUAAUGGGAUGAAGCUAAGUACAAUGAAACGAUGAAGCAACUAAAUAAAACUUGAACCAAUGUAAAAUAUUGUUGAAAAAAUAUCUCAAUCGAUUCUGAUAUCCAAUUGGCUUGGAUCAACCAAUGGCAUUAGAAUUAAUCCAAGAAAACCAUCAAUGAUGCCAUUGAUAAGCAAAUACACCAUGUGAAAUUGAUAGGAAAUGCAUUUAUAGAUAGAAGAAAUAAUGUAUAAUCACACUUCUUGAUAUGUAAUCGUAGAAAAGCUGCACUUUAUCUAGUGUCAAACAAAAAUGUACCAACAAUCGUAAUUGAUUUUCUCACUAAACCUAAGUUUCUUGAGAAUAAGCCUUUAAAAAUGUUUAUCGUUUUCAGAACGUAUAUUUAUUAAAACUUAAAGUUAGGUGUCUGUAACUGUAACACAAAUAACGAACAAGGUUAUUUAGGAGGAUGUUGUACCUUUCUAGUAUGUUUGCAACUAAUGAUCUGUAUUAUAGAUUUUAAGGGGGUAUUCUGGUCUACAAAUUUGAAAAAAUCGAAAAAUUUUUUUUUCAUAUUUCCAAAGUUUAGACAUACAAGAAUAUGCCCUUAAAAGGAUUUUUCAAAAUUUCAAUUAUUUUAUGAGUUACAACCAUUUUUGUGAUGCGACAUCUGCUCCGGUCCGACCGGAACAAAUGAACAGUAGACAAUAGACGUUGUCCGAGUAAACUUAUCUCAAAACUUUAAACGCGUUUUUCUCGAAACUACUUUCUUCGAGUUAGCGUGCACGAUAUCUCAAGCUCUAAUGAUUUAUUUGAAAUUUGGUGUGAAUGUUCUUUAUAUAUUCCUCUAUCGCCUCAACCACGCUCAGAUCAAAAUUUUUAAUUUUACUAUUUUUAAAAAAUUCGGAAUUGCCAAAAAAACAUGCCAAAAAGGAAAAUUUUUUCAAACGGCCGCCAUUUUGUGAAAAAAUAUUGUUUUGACUUUUCCAAGGUUCAUGCCAUAGCCGCAUCUAUAUUAAUUAAGAAUCGGUUCGGCUUUAUUGCUUCAGAUGACCAAAAGGGUUGAAAUCAUGGACGCCAGAACACCCUUUUGUUUUUGGACCCCCACUUUGCCAGUUCAUAAUUUUGUGAAUUUUGAGUUUUUUUCAGUUAAUUUUUUAUGUAAUCUUAAAGUAUCAAUAAACAAAUGAUAAAAAAGUGGAUAGUAAAAAUA